This is a non-coding RNA of Pelobates cultripes (western spadefoot toad), 265 nucleotides long. Lineage: Eukaryota; Metazoa; Chordata; Amphibia; Anura; Pelobatidae. The record is from the annotation of a GenBank genome assembly.
CCUUUAGACAGGGUGGCGUCACUUGAGGACCUGUCACAAGGAUCGGAGGCGGAUUCGGAAGACGGGGUCAGGAGUGUACGGGAGGACAGCGGGUGCACCUCCCAAGGGCGGCAAGGUGUACCAAACGACCCCAGGCCUGUAGCCAGCAAAGAACGGCGGGGGGAUAGCGCCAGGCAGGAAGGGACAUGGAGCGCCAGGGAAAGGAGCCCGUCGGCUGAUAGGUACAGUAAGCGGAGGGCAGCCUGUAGGGACAGGAGGAGGAAGG